This 253-nucleotide ribosomal RNA is filed under the name uncultured bacterium. Its description in RNAcentral is "partial 16S ribosomal RNA". It matches the Rfam family "Bacterial small subunit ribosomal RNA", at positions 524 to 776 of the family's 1533-position model. The record is from RNAcentral.
GACGAACCGUGCAAACGUUAUUCGGAAUCACUGGGCUUAAAGGGCGCGUAGGUGGUUGAUCAAGUCUGGGGGGAAAUCUUUCGGCUUAACCGGAAAAGUGCCUUGGAUACUGAUCAGCUGGAGGGAGGUAGGGGCAGUUGGAACUUCCAGUGGAGCGGUGAAAUGCGUUGAUAUUGGAAGGAACGCCGGUGGCGAAAGCGAACUGCUGGACCUCUUCUGACACUGAGGCGCGAAAGCUAGGGGAGCAAACGGG